Tachysurus vachellii is the source of this 1070-nucleotide long non-coding RNA. RefSeq lists it as uncharacterized. NCBI's taxonomy places the organism in Eukaryota, Metazoa, Chordata, Actinopteri, Siluriformes, Bagridae. The record is from RefSeq and is a predicted model, not a curated record. The transcript has 3 exons.
CAGAAAGAGAAAGCAAGUAGAAGAGAGUGUAGGGGAAAAGAAAGGAAAAGAAUUGAGUAGAAAGGAGAGUGGAAAAGGAAAGGGAGAUCAUAGCAAACUCCUCGAUUUCGAAAGAUUUUGAUUAAACAAAAGAAUGAGAACCGACAUGGCCAGUCUCUGUAGUCUCAGCCUGGAUGAGCUUCUCCACUUUGGACUCCUUCUUCUCCGGCGGAGGCUCUCCGUGUCUCCUCUCGCUGAGGCGACGCUUACGGACCGAUUUCGUCCUCGGGUUCUCCAUAUCAUUAGACAUGAUGCUGAUUUGUCUGUGAGUGCAGAAAAAAGAACCGAGUGCUCCAUCAUGCUGGAAAAGGCAUUGUUCUUCACAAAAAUGUUCUUGGAUGGAUUGGAGAAGUUGGAGGUUUUUGCGCUGUUCUUUAUUCAUGGCUAGGUUCUUAGGCUAAAUUGUGAGUGUGUCCAUUCCUUUGGCUGAGAAGCAACCCCACACAUGAAUGGUCUCAAGAUGCUUUACUAUUGGCAUGAAGCAGGACUGAUCAUAGCGCUGAAAAUUUCUCUUCCGGACAAGGUUUCUUCUGGAUGCCCCAAACAAACGGAUAUGGGAUUCAUCAGAGAAAAUGACUUUACUUAUGGGAUGGAAGACCACACUGCAUGCCAGCUUAUGUGUUGAUUUAUGAAUAAAAAAGUAUAAAGCGCAAGUCUAUGCUAUGCUAAAAGGCAUAGAGCUUACCUCAUAAACUGUCUUCGAGCCUCAUUGACUGCAGGUUCUUGGUCCACCAUAUCAGUGUGGAUACUGAGAGCAUCAUCGGGGAAUAACUCUUCCUCGUCAAUCAAUACUUCUACAACAGAUAAACAAAUGUCCAGUAAGUCAUAUCAAAGAGAUAAUGACAACCAGUCAGGCUAAAGCAUAAUGUUGGAUCAUUUCAAUAACAGUAAGAUGUUACAGGUCCAAAUACAGGUCAUGUGACAAGUAAUAGGUUGAGAAUUAUUUAUAAAAAUUUGCAUGUUGUACGAUAUCCACGAUUUCGUCCCCAUCAGCUUUAGUAACACACCUCAAUUUCAACAGGGUUUGUCUU